This 248-nucleotide ribosomal RNA is filed under the name uncultured bacterium. RNAcentral's name for it is "partial 16S ribosomal RNA". It matches the Rfam family "Bacterial small subunit ribosomal RNA", at positions 524 to 771 of the family's 1533-position model. The record is from RNAcentral.
UACGUAGGGUGCGAGCGUUAAUCGGAAUUACUGGGCGUAAAGCGUGCGCAGGCGGUUUUGUAAGCCAGGUGUGAAAUCCCCGGGCUCAACCUGGGAAUGGCAUUUGGGACUGCAAGGCUGGAGUGCGGCAGAGGAGACUGGAAUUCCUGGUGUAGCAGUGAAAUGCGUAGAUAUCAGGAGGAACACCGAUGGCGAAGGCAGGUCUCUGGGCUGACACUGACGCUCAUGCACGAAAGCGUGGGGAGCAA